CUUGGUCAUUUAGAGGAAGUAAAAGUCGUAACAAGGUCUCCGUAGGUGAACCUGCGGAGGGAUCAUUACAAGAACUUCCGGGCUUCGGCCUGGUUAUUCAUAACCCUUUGUUGUCCGACUCUGUUGCCUCCGGGGCGACCCUGCCUUCGGGCGGGGGCUCCGGGUGGACACUUCAAACUCUUGCGUAACUUUGCAGUCUGAGUAAACUUAAUUAAUAAAUUAAAACUUUUAACAACGGAUCUCUUGGUUCUGGCAUCGAUGAAGAACGCAGCGAAAUGCGAUAAGUAAUGUGAAUUGCAGAAUUCAGUGAAUCAUCGAAUCUUUGAACGCACAUUGCGCCCCCUGGUAUUCCGGGGGGCAUGCCUGUUCGAGCGUCAUUUCACCACUCAAGCCUCGCUUGGUAUUGGGCAACGCGGUCCGCCGCGUGCCUCAAAUCGUCCGGCUGGGUCUUCUGUCCCCUAAGCGUUGUGGAAACUAUUCGCUAAAGGGUGUUCGGGAGGCUACGCCGUAAAACAACCCCAUUUCUAAGGUUGACCUCGGAUCAKGUAGGGAUACCCGCUGAACUUAAGCAUAUCAAUAAGCGGAGGA
RNAcentral lists this ribosomal RNA (588 nucleotides) under uncultured Davidiella. RNAcentral describes it as "eukaryotic LSU rRNA". Lineage: Eukaryota; Fungi; Ascomycota; Dothideomycetes; Cladosporiales; Cladosporiaceae. The record is from RNAcentral.